UUUCCGUAGGUGAACCUGCGGAAGGAUCAUUAUUGUAUAAUCGAGGUGCGAGGGCUGUCGCUGACCUGAAAGGUUGUGCACGCACGAGUGCUCUCACACACACCAAUCUCACGCCUAUGUGCACCACCGCGAGGGUCUCACGUUGGCUUGUUCGGUAGGAGGCUUAGGUUUUCAUACAAACCUAGCAUUCAGUGUAGAUUGUAUUUUUUGUUUUUGCGAAGGCGCUAUCAUUACAACUUUCUUCAACGGAGCUUUUGGCUCUCGCAUCGUUGAAGAACG
This 279-nucleotide unclassified non-coding RNA is filed under the name plant metagenome. RNAcentral describes it as "partial contains small subunit ribosomal RNA, internal transcribed spacer 1, and 5.8S ribosomal RNA". The record is from RNAcentral.